Molecule: ribosomal RNA, 1373 nt
Filed under: Candidatus Phytoplasma ulmi
Lineage: Bacteria; Bacillati; Mycoplasmatota; Mollicutes; Acholeplasmatales; Acholeplasmataceae
Description: bacterial SSU rRNA
Rfam family: Bacterial small subunit ribosomal RNA
Source: RNAcentral
AAGACGAGGAUAACAAUCGGAAACGGUUGCUAAGACUGGAUAGGAAACAGAAAGGCAUCUUUUUGUUUUUAAAAGACCUUCUUCGGAGGGUAUGUUUAAAGAGGGGCUUGCGCCACCUUAGUUAGUUGGUGAGGUAAAGGCUUACCAAGAUUAUGAUGUGUAGCUGGACUGAGAGGUUGAACAGCCACAUUGGGACUGAGACACGGCCCAAACUCCUACGGGAGGCAGCAGUAGGGAAUUUUCGGCAAUGGAGGAAACUCUGACCGAGCGACGCCGCGUGAACGAUGAAGUAUUUCGGUAUGUAAAGUUCUUUUAUUGAAGAAGAAAAAAUAGUGGAAAAACUAUCUUGACGUUAUUCAAUGAAUAAGCCCCGGCUAACUAUGUGCCAGCAGCCGCGGUAAGACAUAGGGGGCGAGCGUUAUCCGGAAUUAUUGGGCGUAAAGGGUGCGUAGGCGGUUAGAUAAGUCUAUAAUUUAAUUUCAGUGCUUAACGCUGUCUUGUUAUAGAAACUGUCUUGACUAGAGUGAGAUAGAGGCAAGCGGAAUUCCAUGUGUAGCGGUAAAAUGUGUAAAUAUAUGGAGGAACACCAGAAGCGUAGGCGGCUUGCUGGGUCUUUACUGACGCUGAGGCACGAAAGCGUGGGGAGCAAACAGGAUUAGAUACCCUGGUAGUCCACGCUGUAAACGAUGAGUACUAAGUGUCGGGGAAACUCGGUACUGAAGUUAACACAUUAAGUACUCCGCCUGAGUAGUACGUACGCAAGUAUGAAACUUAAAGGAAUUGACGGGACUCCGCACAAGCGGUGGAUCAUGUUGUUUAAUUCGAAGAUACACGAAAAACCUUACCAGGUCUUGACAUACUCUGCAAAGCUAUAGAAAUAUAGUGGAGGUUAUCAGGGAUACAGGUGGUGCAUGGUUGUCGUCAGUUCGUGUCGUGAGAUGUUAGGUUAAGUCCUAAAACGAACGCAACCCCUGUCGUUAGUUGCCAGCACGUAAUGGUGGGGACUUUAGCGAGACUGCCAAUUAAACAUUGGAGGAAGGUGGGGAUAACGUCAAAUCAUCAUGCCCCUUAUGAUCUGGGCUACAAACGUGAUACAAUGGCUAUUACAAAGAGUAGCUGAAACGCGAGUUUUUAGCCAAUCUCAAAAAGGUAGUCUCAGUACGGAUUGAAGUCUGCAACUCGACUUCAUGAAGCUGGAAUCGCUAGUAAUCGCGAAUCAGCAUGUCGCGGUGAAUACGUUCUCGGGGUUUGUACACACCGCCCGUCAAACCACGAAAGUUAGCAAUACCCGAAAGCAGUGGCUUAACUUCGCAAGAAGAGGGAGCUGUCUAAGGUAGGGUUGAUGAUUGGGGUUAAGUCGUAACAAGGUAUCC